GGAUCCUCCUGCCUCAGCCUCCCAAAUAGCUGAGACUACAGUGGCAUUUGUGAAGACUGGAUUGAACAAACCACUUUGGAAGCUACUAUAACAGCUGGAGGAGGGAUGAUGACAGGACUUUCAUCAUAUAACUUUAUUGGUGACUUCAGACAGGAAAAUGCUGCACUGUAUUUCAAAACCCAUGUUUAAAAGAUGGGGUAUUUCAAAGGAUCGGAGGAACCUGCCCAGGCUGCUGAGCACAUGAAAAAGGUUGUGUGUGCGCUAUGGAAGGUGCUUCAGGGACUAAAAAUAUAAAAUGCAACAUUUGCCUUUGAGGAGCUAAUAUUUUAGCCGGUGCGGGUAAAAUAAUGCAACCUAAUGUCUAUAACAGAAAACUAGUAAGUGCCAAGAGAGGUACGAAUAGAGUAAGGGAUGCAGGUGUACAUGUGGGGUAAUUAAAAAAAACUG
This is a long non-coding RNA of Lemur catta (Ring-tailed lemur), 447 nucleotides long. RefSeq lists it as uncharacterized. The record is from RefSeq and is a predicted model, not a curated record. NCBI's taxonomy places the organism in Eukaryota, Metazoa, Chordata, Mammalia, Primates, Lemuridae. The transcript has 4 exons.